AAGGAUCAUUAAAGAGAUAGGGUCUUCCGGGCCCGAACCUCCCACCCUUUGUGUACCUUACCUCUGUUGCUUUGGCGGGCCUGCGGGGACGCCCACCGCCGGCUCCGGCUGGAGUGUGCCCGUCGAAGUCCUUAAAAAAUCCAGUUUAUUAGUGAUGUCUGAGCACUAUUCAAUAGUUAAAAACUUUCAACAACGGAUCUCUUGGUUCUGGCAUCGAUGAAGAACGCAGCGAAAUGCGAUAAGUAAUGUGAAUUGCAGAAUUCAGUGAAUCAUCGAAUCUUUGAACGCACAUUGCGCCCCUUGGUAUUCCGAGGGGCAUGCCCGUUCGAGCGUCAUUACACCCCUCAAGCUCCGCUUGGUACUGGGCUUCGUCUCCCCGGGACGUGCCUCAAAGUUAGUGGCGGUGCGGCCUGACUCCAAGCCUAGUAACUACCCAUUCGCUUCGGGAGUUUUCAGGUCGGACCUGCCAGACAACCCACACUAUCUGUUAUGGUUGACCUCGGAUCAGGUAGGGAUACCCGCUGAACUUAA
RNAcentral lists this ribosomal RNA (531 nucleotides) under Ophioparma lapponica. RNAcentral's name for it is "eukaryotic LSU rRNA". The stretch from base 182 to 335 matches the Rfam family "5.8S ribosomal RNA". The record is from RNAcentral. Lineage: Eukaryota; Fungi; Ascomycota; Lecanoromycetes; Umbilicariales; Ophioparmaceae.